This 281-nucleotide unclassified non-coding RNA is filed under the name Hevea brasiliensis (rubber tree). Lineage: Eukaryota; Viridiplantae; Streptophyta; Magnoliopsida; Malpighiales; Euphorbiaceae. The record is from RNAcentral.
AAAUUCUCUGCCUUGAUUCAAGAUUCCUUUUUUUACCUCUCUGUAGGAGCUCCCACCAUUUUAUUUCCCUUGACUCGAACUCACAACCUUAGGGUCGAGGUGAGGGGUGUUUACGAUCCGAACAAGUCCCUCUUGUUUUUUUUCUUCCAAUUGAACCCCUUUGAGGUAUGUGAGUUUUUUUUUGUUGGGAAAACCGAUAACUACUUGUUGUGAUUCAGUAUUGUGACAAUGUUACAAGAUGAUGGUUCUUCAUCUGUGACCUCAUCAUCACCUAUUCAAGU